AGUGAACGCUGGCGGUAGGCCUAACACAUGCAAGUCGAACGGCAGCACAGUAAGAGCUUGCUCUUACGGGUGGCGAGUGGCGGACGGGUGAGGAAUACAUCGGAAUCUACUUUUUCGUGGGGGAUAACGUAGGGAAACUUACGCUAAUACCGCAUACGACCUACGGGUGAAAGCAGGGGAUCUUCGGACCUUGCGCGAUUGAAUGAGCCGAUGUCGGAUUAGCUAGUUGGCGGGGUAAAGGCCCACCAAGGCGACGAUCCGUAGCUGGUCUGAGAGGAUGAUCAGCGACACUGGAACUGAGACACGGUCCAGACUCCUACGGGAGGCAGCAGUGGGGAAUAUUGGACAAUGGGCGCAAGCCUGAUCCAGCCAUACCGCGUGGGUGAAGAAGGCCUUCGGGUUGUAAAGCCCUUUUGUUGGGAAAGAAAAGCAGCAGGUUAAUACCCCGCUGUUCUGACGGUACCCAAAGAGUAAGCACCGGCUAACUUCGUG
This 492-nucleotide ribosomal RNA is filed under the name uncultured bacterium. RNAcentral's name for it is "partial 16S ribosomal RNA". It matches the Rfam family "Bacterial small subunit ribosomal RNA", at positions 29 to 507 of the family's 1533-position model. The record is from RNAcentral.